GACGAACGCUGGCGGCGUGCCUAAUACAUGCAAGUCGAACGCUUCUUUCCUCCCGAGUGCUUGCACUCAAUUGGAAAGAGGAGUGGCGGACGGGUGAGUAACACGUGGGUAACCUACCCAUCAGAGGGGGAUAACACUUGGAAACAGGUGCUAAUACCGCAUAGCAGUUUAUGCCGCAUGGCAUAAGAGUGAAAGGCGCUUUCGGGUGUCGCUGAUGGAUGGACCCGCGGUGCAUUAGCUAGUUGGUGAGGUAACGGCUCACCAAGGCCACGAUGCAUAGCCGACCUGAGAGGGUGAUCGGCCACACUGGGACUGAGACACGGCCCAGACUCCUACGGGAGGCAGCAGUAGGGAAUCUUCGGCAAUGGACGAAAGUCUGACCGAGCAACGCCGCGUGAGUGAAGAAGGUUUUCGGAUCGUAAAACUCUGUUGUUAGAGAAGAACAAGGACGUUAGUAACUGAACGUCCCCUGACGGUAUCUAACCAGAAAGACACGGCUAACUACGUG
This 508-nucleotide ribosomal RNA is filed under the name uncultured bacterium. RNAcentral's name for it is "partial 16S ribosomal RNA". It matches the Rfam family "Bacterial small subunit ribosomal RNA", at positions 28 to 507 of the family's 1533-position model. The record is from RNAcentral.